Molecule: RNA transcript, 4530 nt
Organism: Haplochromis burtoni (Burton's mouthbrooder)
Lineage: Eukaryota; Metazoa; Chordata; Actinopteri; Cichliformes; Cichlidae
Exons: 5
Source: RefSeq, a predicted model, not a curated record
ACAGAAACCAAAAGGUUCAAAUGACAGUUUCUAAUGCAGUCUCUGUACAAAAGGAGAAUCUGGUGAGAAUCAGCUUAGUGUUUUUUUUACAACAGGGAGAAGACGAUGAUACUUUCCAGCUUCAAAAGCUUCUUUAUUUAUUAUUAUUUGAGCUCCUUAUUCUACCCAAGCAAUGGUUUUGAGGUGAUCCAGCCACAGAAUAAGACUAAUAACCCAGAUACAGUUUUCAUCAGCUGUAACUUUACAGCAAACACUGGGACAAUUAUAGAUGUCCGACUCAACAAGGUUUUACCAGAGAAAAAGAUGCUCUGCCAGACUGAAUCUGAAGCCUGUCAUAACAUUAUCGUACUUAAAGACGCUCCAUUCAAGUACAUUUUCAUCUUACUCAAUGCUGGGCCAGAGGCAUGGACCUCAAAGUAUGAAUGUGAGUGGUCAGCAACAAAUAAGGAUGGGACGGACAAAACCGUGACAAGUGCAGCAAACAAAUUAAUUAAACUGCAACUACAAGGCUGCUGGGAACCACACGGGAAGAGUGACGUGAGCAGGUCCUAGACAACAUACGCACAAGGGUGAUGAGGGGAGACAGCUGUCAACGCAGCAGGGACACAUAAACAUAAUGCACAUAGACUAUCAAAAUAAGACAGGAAACGCGGCAAAAAGUAUAAGCACAGUAAGUCCUGCUGUGCAAUUCAAAGGUACAGCCUAAAAGUUUUGAUUUGGAGGUGGUAAAAUUAGGAACUAUGUGUUGUUAAAGUUGCAAAUACAAACCCACGAUUCUACUAAAUCAAAGUUAAGACUUGAGACUUUUUUAGCAACAGAAUCAUAAUGUCAGCAAAGACACUGUGACUCAACCUCCCUUGUGUCCAAGUUGCAAAGUCCGUGUGGUCUUUUAGCCCAAACCACACAAAUUUUGCGAUAAAAAGCCCAGGAUAUCCUCUUUACUGUGCACUAGGACUCAUAGAUUGCUUGAUGUAGACGUCUCACAUGUACGUCCCCCACACGGGACAAAAAUGCAUUGCUGUGUCUUAGAAGGAUAUGCAGGUAAACUCUGUUAGCACUGUAUCAACACAGACACCCAGAAUCUUCAAUCAGAAUGAUGAAAAUGGUAAAUCGACGGGUUCUUUUUCUGCUCUGAGCACUCAGAGUGAUUAUACAGCAUGCCUCAUUCACUAUUUCACACAAGCAUUGCUUUCUAACAUUCGCACAUUUUGAUGAAUCUUGGGGUAAAUGUCUUACCUGAGGAUAUUUGGCAUACAGACUGCAGUAACCAGGGUUGAACCAUCAACAUUCUCAUUAGUAGAUGGUCUGCAGUGCAUGUGUGGGUUAGGGGUGUGUUGUUAAACUUGUUAAACGUUUUUUUGUUCAACCAUGUCCUGGAAAUCAGGGCAAAAUGUAGCUCUGUUUGAUAUGCAUUAAAAACCAUUUCAGUUUAGCACAUGGUUAAGGCUGUGAUGAGUGUUAUCGCUGAGGACAAAUUAGACCUCAGAGGGUUAAUUGUCCAAGAGAUUGCUCCUUACAGUUACCACUUUGUAAAGAAACUAUCACAGAAAUACUGCAAGGCUUUGAAACCUGUUGUUGACUCUUAAAAUUAAAAAUAAAAAAAUAAUAAUUUCUGUGCAGGCUAGGAUUUUUUUUCACCUCAGAGAUUUUAGUCUGUAUCGUUUCAGUGGUUUAAGCAGACAGAAUCUUUUAACAGUAUCUAAAUCAAAGUUUGACUUCCUUGCAUUGCUGGUCAGAUCUGAUCAAACUACGCCCACGCUACUGACGAAGCUGGCUGGAUACUCUGUGCUGCUAAAUGUGUAAAACAGUCUUUACAACAAAACCUAAUAAUGCAUGUUUCUGAACGUGAAACUGGCUGCUGUUUAUGUCGUUGUGUUUAGUGACGUCAGUCAAACCACUGAAGUACAAACAGGAAGUAACCACUGUUUUUAUUAGGUCAACUGGAAAUCACACCACAGUGUACUCCUCCCCCUUCACCUCCUCCUCCUCAGUCCCAUCAGCUCAUGUGGAUUUUGAUUGGUCUGCUGGCCCUGAUGUUUGUGUACAGCUGUAUCAUCACCUCCUUCUACAUGAGGCUUAUGAACAGCAGCAAAGAUUGCGAAAACUCCACCUAUGUUGAAAUGAGGAACGUUCCAGUUCAGCUGCAUCCUCACCACAUUUACAAUACUAUGCAAAAGGCUUGAGCUGCCCCUCAUUUCUUUAUAUCUUAUUAGGAAAAUGGGUAAUAGGUUCAACAAUGUCUUAAAACAUGUAAAAAUACAUGGAAAUACAGUAUCUGCAGUAAAUACAACUGUGUACACAAAUGCAUAAACAGAGUCUUCACAAUUCUAAGGAACUUUAAAUAUUUCAUAUGACCAAACUUAUUCUUCUACAUAGCCUGAACUCUCAUGGGCAAGAUUGCUUAUAAUGUCUGUUAGUAGUUUUCAGGGCAGGGGGGGCUGGCUGCCUUUAUUCCAUUUUCCAUGAAGCUGGUGUUGAGGCCCAGACCAUGACUAACAGUUUUCUACCCAGAUAUGCUUUUUUUCUCAAUCCAUACGACCUGUUGACACUGACUGAAUAGACUGUAAAGUCGGCAUUGAUUAAAGUAUAACUUUGAAAGAGCUUUAGAAACCUUAGAGAGCUGCUGAUCAUGACCAGUUUAAAAUGUUACAAGAAAGUUCAGCUCCUUAGAAGCAAAAUAUAAAGAAAUGAGGGUCGCUCAAGACUUUUGCACAGUACUGUAGCUGACUCAUCUGUCUUCAGUAUCUUCAAAAAGAAGACGCGAACAGCUCAUAUUGUGCUCUCAACAUUUUGUUCUUCAGUAUUUGACAGUUCAUUAAGUUGUAUUGUGCAAUAGCAGAAAACCUGUGUAGUACUGAAGUAAAGAGGGGGGUGAACUGACCUCUUAAAGGCACAUGGUUUUAUUGACCUAUAAUAUGAUCCAUUAGUUUAAUCUUUUUAAAGUCUUACUUUAUUAAAAGAAUGUCAGCUAUUGAUUUGAUGUAAUUCCUCAAAAUAGUAAGUGUGGAUUGUACAUGUAGCAUCGUGGUUGGAUUUUGUCUCUGACAUGUUGAAACCUCAUGAUUCUUCCCUGCUCUUAGGUCUUCAGGUCAGAGGUCACAGUUGGUCCUACGUACCAAACUUGUGGGGAUCCGGCUUUUCACGCACCAAAGCUGUGGUAUUCUCUUCCAUUGUCUUUACGCCGUGCUGACUCUUUCAAAAAGCAGCUGAAGACAUUUCUAUACAAACAAGUUUUUAACUAAUUUUCUCAUUGUUUUGUUUUAUUUAUAUUUCUGGUUUUAUUGUGAAGCACUUUGUGAUUUUUAUCAGUAAAAAGUGCUAUAAAUGCAUCUUUCUUACUUACUUUUCUAAAUCUUCAAGGAAACUUUGCCUUAAUCUUGUAUUCAAAUUACAAUAUUUUAUACUAUGUUUUGUGUAGUUUCCACGUGCUUCAGUGUUUCUGCACACGCACACAACAAUGGUACAAUUUCUAAUUAUUGCGGUACAUGCCUUAUUGCUAAUAAUAUUAUAUUUUUAUAAAUAUACCUCAAGCUCCCCAUUAGUGGCCAGUUUGGUUUCUGUCUCAUCGCUUGUAUCAUUUUAUGAUAUACAUCGUUGAGGAUGGGGGAUACCUACUUAUCCUAGUUUACACAUUUCAAGCUGGAGAAAAUGGUGUGCCCAUCAGCAGCCACAGAAUCGGUUCAAUAUCCUUUAUUAAGGAUAAAUGUAAUUGUAACCUCUUAGUUAAUCUGAACGAUAACCUGUUGUUUUGCUGGAGGGGAACAGAAAAUCAUUGCAUUUGUCAUCACAUGUAGCAAAUAUCAUACCUUGACUUUUGAAUGGCCUGUUGUCUUUAUGUGUCUUUUAUUUCAAAAUAGAUUUGUAUGGUUUCUUUUAAUCAAUAAAAAUUAAAUCCAAAAACCUCUGCAGAGUGAUCCUUCCUAACCAUCACUCCAUCUAUUUUCUUAGAUAUUUUUCCAGCUAAAGUUGAAUGGGACAUGCACCCAUUUCAGCUGACCUUCUUUCCAUUCUCCACUGAAAGCUCAAAUGUCUCCCAUAGAUGUUCAGCUCAGUUUCAUCUGAGAGCUGUAAAGGCCUUACUCAUACACAUUAUUUUCACCUUCAGUAAAAAUAGGAUACAUACAAUGUCAUCCUAAAAUAGGCCACUGGUAUCAGGAGAGAAAUGAGUGGUCCUUCCCUCUAUAGAGUGAAGUGGAUUCCCAGAAUUUCGGGUACAAAGCAUAAUUUGUCAAAAGUAGUCAUUUGAUCCCCUAUCUGCAAAUCCAUACUGAGAGAAAGAAUGACACAAGAGUGACACUAUUGCAGUCUCAAGUUCAUUCAUACUGAUUCAAGGUCGCCACUGCCUGAUCCUUUCUCACAAUAUGUUGGACUAUUGGCAGACUUUGGCAAACUAACUAUUUUAUCCUACACCAGUGGUUCUCAAAUUGUGGCUCCCUCUAGUCAUUAAAGAUGAAAUAAUUUGUGCUGUAUUAACACAAUGCUAGCACUUUCUUUGCAAAGCAUUACUACCCUUCCUGUUGUGUUUGUGUC